UGCAUAUAGAAAUCCUUUUCAUUUCUUCUUUUCUUUCAUGAGGAAAUCUCCAUGCAUGGUUUGUCAGGACAGGAGAGUUCAAACCUUGUUAUUGAAAUACAAAUCAAUUGAAACGUGUUGGAACAAGUAGGAAAACAAAGUUAAGCUGAUUUCUGUUAAACAGUUUAAAGUCUUCUUCGGUACCAAAUAAAUUAAGCGUUGUAAAGUGAAGUUAAUUCGGAUAAUCACUCAGGGCAGAGGUCUAACCAUAUAGAUCACGGGUAUUACAAUUUAUGGUAUAAUUAGAUCCUCAGAAAUCUGCAGAACUCCCUCUCAAUUGGUUUCUGUGUUUACUUAACAAGACACGGAACAAAUACAUGUCAAUGUGUAGCUGAACUGAAGGGACUUGAGUGGAUGAAGUUACUGCCUUUAACUGUCAAGAACUACUCAGGGUCAGGGUUGGAUUUAAUCAUGUAAGUUGUGUUAUGCAGCAUGAUUGCCAUUACAGU
Molecule: long non-coding RNA, 488 nt
Filed under: Bos taurus (domestic cattle)
Lineage: Eukaryota; Metazoa; Chordata; Mammalia; Artiodactyla; Bovidae
Description: long non-coding RNA NONBTAT004928
Source: RNAcentral